CUCAAAUAUUUCUGUUUUGUAAUAUAGCUAAAGUUAAAUCAAACAUUAAUUGCAUUUUUUUUUCUAGGUUGCAAUAAAAAUAAUUGACAAAACUCAAUUGAAUCCAACUAGUCUACAAAAGCUGUUUAGGGAAGUAAGGAUAAUGAAGAUUUUAAAUCAUCCCAAUAUAGUUAAAUUAUUUGAAGUAAUUGAGACUGAAAAAACACUCUACUUAAUCAUGGAAUAUGCAAGUGGAGGUAAGUUCAAACAUUUGCAAG
Python bivittatus (Burmese python) is the source of this 257-nucleotide non-coding RNA. Lineage: Eukaryota; Metazoa; Chordata; Lepidosauria; Squamata; Pythonidae. The record is from RefSeq and is a predicted model, not a curated record.